RNAcentral lists this ribosomal RNA (443 nucleotides) under uncultured bacterium. RNAcentral describes it as "partial 16S ribosomal RNA". It matches the Rfam family "Bacterial small subunit ribosomal RNA", at positions 338 to 795 of the family's 1533-position model. The record is from RNAcentral.
CCUACGGGUGGCAGCAGUGGGGAAUAUUGGGCAAUGGGCGCAAGCCUGACCCAGCAACGCCGCGUGAAGGAAGAAGGCUUUCGGGUUGUAAACUUCUUUUCUCAGGGACGAAGAAAGUGACGGUACCUGAGGAAUAAGCCACGGCUAACUACGUGCCAGCAGCCGCGGUAAUACGUAGGUGGCAAGCGUUAUCCGGAUUUAUUGGGUGUAAAGGGCGUGUAGGCGGGAGCGCAAGUCAGAUGUGAAAACUCAGGGCUCAACCCUGAGCCUGCAUUUGAAACUGGCGGGCUGGAGUUGGAGAGAAGUACGCGGAAUGCGCGGUGUAGCGGUGAAAUGCUUAGAUAUCGCGCAGAACCCCGAUUGCGAAGGCAGCGUACCGGCUCCACACUGACGCUGAGGCACGAAAGCGUGGGUAUCGAACAGGAUUAGAUACCCCUGUAGUC